CCCAUGCAGUUCAUCGAGCAUGAAUAGGAUAUGCAGGAAAGUGAAAUCAGAAUUGGGAGUGAUGCCCCGCCGAAAAAUCAGAACGAAACCGAAAAAUUGAUUAGUACCGUGCCUAUUAGGUGGCAAUCAAAGUAGGGAGUAGCUAUGGACCACAGCAUAGAUCUACUGUGGUG
This 173-nucleotide non-coding RNA is filed under the name unclassified sequences. RNAcentral's name for it is "Pseudomonadales-1 RNA". It matches the Rfam family "Pseudomonadales-1 RNA". The record is from Rfam by way of RNAcentral.